RNAcentral lists this ribosomal RNA (1554 nucleotides) under Salmonella enterica subsp. enterica serovar Senftenberg. RNAcentral's name for it is "bacterial SSU rRNA". It matches the Rfam family "Bacterial small subunit ribosomal RNA". The record is from RNAcentral. Lineage: Bacteria; Pseudomonadati; Pseudomonadota; Gammaproteobacteria; Enterobacterales; Enterobacteriaceae. RNAcentral also lists the same sequence under 6 other names.
AAAUUGAAGAGUUUGAUCAUGGCUCAGAUUGAACGCUGGCGGCAGGCCUAACACAUGCAAGUCGAACGGUAACAGGAAGCAGCUUGCUGCUUUGCUGACGAGUGGCGGACGGGUGAGUAAUGUCUGGGAAACUGCCUGAUGGAGGGGGAUAACUACUGGAAACGGUGGCUAAUACCGCAUAACGUCGCAAGACCAAAGAGGGGGACCUUCGGGCCUCUUGCCAUCAGAUGUGCCCAGAUGGGAUUAGCUUGUUGGUGAGGUAACGGCUCACCAAGGCGACGAUCCCUAGCUGGUCUGAGAGGAUGACCAGCCACACUGGAACUGAGACACGGUCCAGACUCCUACGGGAGGCAGCAGUGGGGAAUAUUGCACAAUGGGCGCAAGCCUGAUGCAGCCAUGCCGCGUGUAUGAAGAAGGCCUUCGGGUUGUAAAGUACUUUCAGCGGGGAGGAAGGUGUUGUGGUUAAUAACCACAGCAAUUGACGUUACCCGCAGAAGAAGCACCGGCUAACUCCGUGCCAGCAGCCGCGGUAAUACGGAGGGUGCAAGCGUUAAUCGGAAUUACUGGGCGUAAAGCGCACGCAGGCGGUCUGUCAAGUCGGAUGUGAAAUCCCCGGGCUCAACCUGGGAACUGCAUUCGAAACUGGCAGGCUUGAGUCUUGUAGAGGGGGGUAGAAUUCCAGGUGUAGCGGUGAAAUGCGUAGAGAUCUGGAGGAAUACCGGUGGCGAAGGCGGCCCCCUGGACAAAGACUGACGCUCAGGUGCGAAAGCGUGGGGAGCAAACAGGAUUAGAUACCCUGGUAGUCCACGCCGUAAACGAUGUCUACUUGGAGGUUGUGCCCUUGAGGCGUGGCUUCCGGAGCUAACGCGUUAAGUAGACCGCCUGGGGAGUACGGCCGCAAGGUUAAAACUCAAAUGAAUUGACGGGGGCCCGCACAAGCGGUGGAGCAUGUGGUUUAAUUCGAUGCAACGCGAAGAACCUUACCUGGUCUUGACAUCCACAGAACUUUCCAGAGAUGGAUUGGUGCCUUCGGGAACUGUGAGACAGGUGCUGCAUGGCUGUCGUCAGCUCGUGUUGUGAAAUGUUGGGUUAAGUCCCGCAACGAGCGCAACCCUUAUCCUUUGUUGCCAGCGAUUAGGUCGGGAACUCAAAGGAGACUGCCAGUGAUAAACUGGAGGAAGGUGGGGAUGACGUCAAGUCAUCAUGGCCCUUACGACCAGGGCUACACACGUGCUACAAUGGCGCAUACAAAGAGAAGCGACCUCGCGAGAGCAAGCGGACCUCAUAAAGUGCGUCGUAGUCCGGAUUGGAGUCUGCAACUCGACUCCAUGAAGUCGGAAUCGCUAGUAAUCGUGGAUCAGAAUGCCACGGUGAAUACGUUCCCGGGCCUUGUACACACCGCCCGUCACACCAUGGGAGUGGGUUGCAAAAGAAGUAGGUAGCUUAACCUUCGGGAGGGCGCUUACCACUUUGUGAUUCAUGACUGGGGUGAAGUCGUAACAAGGUAACCGUAGGGGAACCUGCGGUUGGAUCACCUCCUUACCUGAAAGAAGC